This 862-nucleotide ribosomal RNA is filed under the name Akanthomyces muscarius. Its description in RNAcentral is "LSU rRNA". It matches the Rfam family "Eukaryotic large subunit ribosomal RNA", at positions 74 to 968 of the family's 3401-position model. The record is from RNAcentral. Lineage: Eukaryota; Fungi; Ascomycota; Sordariomycetes; Hypocreales; Cordycipitaceae.
AUUGCCCCAGUAACGGCGAGUGAAGCGGCAACAGCUCAAAUUUGAAAUCUGGCCCUUGGGUCCGAGAAGUAAUUUGUAGAGGAUGCUUUUGGCGAGGUGCCUUCCGAGUUCCCUGGAACGGGACGCCAUAGAGGGUGAGAGCCCCGUCUGGUCGGACACCGAGCCUCUGUAAAGCUCCUUCGACGAGUCGAGUAGUUUGGGAAUGCUGCUCAAAAUGGGAGGUAUAUGUCUUCUAAAGCUAAAUAUUGGCCAGAGACCGAUAGCGCACAAGUAGAGUGAUCGAAAGAUGAAAAGCACUUUGAAAAGAGGGUUAAAAAGUACGUGAAAUUGUUGAAAGGGAAGCGCCUAUGACCAGACUUGGGCCCGGUGAAUCAUCCAGCGUUCUCGCUGGUGCACUUUGCCGGGCACAGGCCAGCAUCAGUUUGGCGCGGGGGAAAAAGGCUUUGGGAAUGUGGCUCCCUCGGGAGUGUUAUAGCCCAUUGUGUAAUACCCUGCGCCGGACUGAGGUACGCGCAUUGCAAGGAUGCUGGCGUAAUGGUCAUCAGCGACCCGUCUUGAAACACGGACCAAGGAGUCGUCUUCGUAUGCGAGUGUUCGGGUGUCAAACCCCUACGCGUAAUGAAAGUGAACGCAGGUGAGAGCUUCGGCGCAUCAUCGACCGAUCCUGAUGUUCUCGGAUGGAUUUGAGUAAGAGCAUACGGGGCCGGACCCGAAAGAAGGUGAACUAUGCCUGUAUAGGGUGAAGCCAGAGGAAACUCUGGUGGAGGCUCGCAGCGGUUCUGACGUGCGAAUCGAUCGUCAAAUAUGGGCAUGGGGGCGAAAGACUAAUCGAACCUUCUAGUAGCUGGUUUCCGCCGAAGUU